GCCGUAGCGAAAGCGAGUUUUAACUGAGCGUUCAGUUACUUGACGUAGACCCGAAACCGGGCGACCUACCCAUGAGCAGGAUGAAGCGAAAGUAAAAUUUCGUGGAGGUCCGAACCCACGAGCGUUGAAAAGCUCGGGGAUGACUUGUGGGUAGCGGUGAAAUUCCAAUCGAGCCCGGAGAUAGCUGGUUCUCCCCGAAAUAGCUUUAGGGCUAGCCUCAAGGUGAGAGAUACGGAGGUAGAGCACUGAAUGUCCUAGGGGGUAUUGCACCUACCGAAGACUAUCAAACUCCGAAUGCCGUCAUCUUAUACUUGGGAGUCAGACUGUGGGUGAUAAGAUUCAUAGUCGAAAGGGCAACAGCCCAGAUCGUCAGCUAAGGUCCCUAAAUGUAAGUUAAGUGGUAAAGGAUGUGGGAUUGCACAGACAACCAGGAUGUUGGCUUAGAAGCAGCCACUCAUUCAAAGAGUGCGUAAUAGCUCACUGGUCGAGUGAUCCUGCGCCGAAGAUUUCCGGGGCUAAAACUUACUACCGAAGCUACGGCAUCAGUAAUGAUGGGUAGGGGAGCUUCCCAUACGGGUUGAAGCAUGACCGUAAGGACAUGUGGACAGUAUGGGAGUGAGAAUGUUGGCAUGAGUAGCGAGAUGUGGGUGAGAAUCCCACAGGCCGUAAACCCAAGGUUUCCAGGGGAAGGUUCGUCCGCCCUGGGUUAGUCGGGACCUAAGCUGAGGCCGAAAGGCGUAGGUGAUGGACAACAGGUUGAUAUUCCUGUACUACCGAUAACCGUUUGAGAGAAGGGAUGACACAGUAGGAUAAGCUAAGCACACUGUUGGUUAUGUGUGCCCAAGCAUUGAGGCAGUCAAAGUAGGCAAAUCCGCUUUGAUAAUGCUGGGAUGUGAUGGGGAGCGAAAUUUAGUAGCGAAGUAGCUGAUUUCACACUGUCAAGAAAAGUCUCUAUCGAGGUUAAAGGUACCCGUACCGCAAACCGACACAGGUGGGUGAGGAGAGUAUCCUAAGGCCAGCGAGAGAACUGUUGUUAAGGAACUCGGCAAAAUGACCCCGUAACUUAGGGAUAAGGGGUGCCACCAUCAGGUGGCCGCAGAGAAUAGGCCCAAGCGACUGUUUACCAAAAACAUAGGUUUCUGCUAAGUCGCAAGACGAUGUAUAGGAGCUGACGCCUGCCCGGUGCUGGAAGGUUAAGGGGAUCUGUUAGAGCAAUCGAAGCAGUGAACUUAAGCCCCAGUAAACGGCGGCCGUAACUAUAACGGUCCUAAGGUAGCGAAAUUCCUUGUCGGGUAAGUUCCGACCCGCACGAAAGGCGUAACGAUUUGGGCACUGUCUCAACAACAGACUCGGUGAAAUUGUAAUUCCGGUGAAGAUGCCGGAUACCUGCGACAGGACGGAAAGACCCCAUGGAGCUUUACUGUAGCUUGACAUUGGGUCUUGGUACUACAUGUACAGGAUAGGUGGGAGGCUUUGAAACCAGGACGCCAGUUUUGGCGGAGCCAUCCUUGGGAUACCACCCUUGUAGUACUGGGACUCUAACCAUAGGCCAUGAAUCUGGUCUUGGGACACUGUCAGGUGGGCAGUUUGACUGGGGCGGUCGCCUCCCAAAAGGUAACGGAGGCGCUCAAAGGUUCUCUCAGUACGGUCGGAAAUCGUACGUAGAGUGUAAAGGCAAAAGAGAGCUUGAUUGCAAGACAUACAGGUCGAGCAAGGAUGAAAAUCGGACUUAGUGAUCCGGUGGUUCUGCGUGGAAGGGCCAUCGCUCAACGGAUAAAAGCUACCCUGGGGAUAACAGGCUUAUCUCCCCCAAGAGUCCACAUCGACGGGGAGGUUUGGCACCUCGAUGUCGGCUCAUCACAUCCUGGGGCUGUAGUAGGUCCCAAGGGUUGGGCUGUUCGCCCAUUAAAGUGGUACGCGAGCUGGGUUCAGAACGUCGUGAGACAGUUCGGUCCCUAUCCGUCGCAGGCGUAGGAAAUUUGAGAAGACCUGUCCUUAGUACGAGAGGACCGGGAUGGA
Molecule: ribosomal RNA, 2019 nt
Filed under: Clostridioides difficile
Lineage: Bacteria; Bacillati; Bacillota; Clostridia; Peptostreptococcales; Peptostreptococcaceae
Description: bacterial LSU rRNA
Rfam family: Bacterial large subunit ribosomal RNA
Source: RNAcentral